CCUACGGGGGGCAGCAGUCGAGAAUCUUUCACAAUGGGGGCAACCCUGAUGGAGCGACGCCGCGUGGAGGAUAAGGUCUUCGGAUUGUAAACUCCUGUCAUGCGAGAACAAGGUUGCAGGGCUAACACCUUUGCAAAUUGAUGGUACCGCAAGAGGAAGAGACGGCUAACUCUGUGCCAGCAGCCGCGGUAAUACAGAGGUGGAAAGCGUUGUUCGGAAUCACUGGGCGGAAAGGGUGUGAGUCUGAUGUGAACGCCCGGGGCUCAACCUCGGAAUUGCAUCCGAUACUGCCAUGCUGGAGUACUGAAGAGGUGACUAGAAUUCUAGGUGUAGCAGUGAAAUGCGUAGAUAUCUAGAGGAAUACCAACGGCGAAGGCAGGUCACUGGGCAGUUACUGACACUGAGGCACGAAGGCCAGGGGAGCAAACGGGAUUAGAUACCCCUGUAGUC
This 450-nucleotide ribosomal RNA is filed under the name uncultured bacterium. RNAcentral describes it as "partial 16S ribosomal RNA". It matches the Rfam family "Bacterial small subunit ribosomal RNA", at positions 338 to 795 of the family's 1533-position model. The record is from RNAcentral.